UACGUAGGGUGCAAGCGUUGUCCGGAAUUAUUGGGCGUAAAGAGCUCGUAGGCGGUCUGUCACGUCGGACGUGAAAAUCCAGGGCUCAACCCUGGACCUGCGUUCGAUACGGGCAGACUAGAGUUCGGUAGGGGAGACUGGAAUUCCUGGUGUAGCGGUGAAAUGCGCAGAUAUCAGGAGGAACACCGGUGGCGAAGGCGGGUCUCUGGGCCGAAACUGACGCUGAGACGCGAAAGCGUGGGGAGCGAACAGG
RNAcentral lists this ribosomal RNA (253 nucleotides) under uncultured bacterium. RNAcentral describes it as "partial 16S ribosomal RNA". It matches the Rfam family "Bacterial small subunit ribosomal RNA", at positions 524 to 776 of the family's 1533-position model. The record is from RNAcentral.